UAGGGAAUAUUGCAAAAUGGGCGAAAGCCCGAUGCAGCAACGCCGCGUGGGCGAUGAGGGCCUUCGGGUCGUAAAGCCCUUUUUGAGGGGAUGAGGAAGGACAGUACCCUCAGAAUAAGCCUCGGCUAACUACGUGCCAGCAGCCGCGGUAAAACGUAGGAGGCGAGCGUUAUCCGGAUUUACUGGGCGUAAAGCGCGUGCAGGCGGAUUGGAGAGUUGGAUGUGAAAGCUCCCGGCUUAACUGGGAGAGGUCGUUCAAUACUUCCAGUCUUGAGUGCAGUAGAGGGAAGUGGAAUUCCGGGUGUAGUGGUGAAAUGCGUAGCUAUCCGGAGGAACACCAGUGGCGAAAGCGGCUUCCUGGACUGUAACUGACGCUCAGACGCGAAAGCUAGGGUAGCAAAC
Molecule: ribosomal RNA, 402 nt
Filed under: uncultured bacterium
Lineage: Bacteria
Description: bacterial SSU rRNA
Rfam family: Bacterial small subunit ribosomal RNA
Source: RNAcentral